ACGGGAGCUGCUCAGACCAAGCUGAUCGUGACUCCCGAGGCUCCUCUUUGCCCUUGACCACCCACCUCUUGCUGAUCGUCCUGGAACCCGUCCGACCCCCAACACUUCCCUGCUGAUGUUUUAUCAGAAAGGGGCAUCGUGCUUUCAGCUCCAGCAGCCUACGACCUUCCGUGCAUCACGCUGGGCUGGGAAGGAUUAGGGGCUCUGCCCCCUUUCUGGGUCACGGCGCAGGCAGCAAGCAGCGCAGAGCAGGAUGCGGGGUCCGGCUGCACCUGCGCAUCCCUCGCACAGGUGCUUUUCUCCUCUCGCUCAAGCGGCGGUUUUAAAGCAACACUAACGAGAUUGUCCUGCUUUGAACAUCGCAUCCCCGAUCAGCCAGCGAGUCAUUCUACCCGCUCUGUCCCAGCCGGGAUCCGGCAACUCCACUCUCCUGGCUGCAAAAGCCCCAUAAGGAGAGAGGAAAGGAAGAAGAAAUCCGGGAUGCUUUGGAAGAACUGCAAACGACAGCGAACGAGACUCUCCCUGAGAGCAAAGGUGCCCCCAAAAUCAAGGAGGAAGAAAAAUCAAUGGCUUUCAAAUCAGUGCAUUAGAAAUCCUUCAAACAGGCUGUAAUUACAGGCCCAUCUGUUGUCGAAGUGUUGAAUCGCCUGCGGGCUGGUGCCUGCGGUAGAGACGCCUGAAGCUCUGUCUGGCUGGUCGUCACUGAGCUGCGCUGGGCAAAUGCCACCACAGAUGUCCCCACCGGCCCGCGGACGCCUCUGCCUCUGGGAAGUCCUCACAAAGGAGAAGCUGGGACUGAGGAGCGGCUCGGGUUCCCUCAUGAUUACCUUGAGUGAACAUUGCUCAGCUGUUUGCAACCUGAUUAGGAAGGAAAACCAAUUUUCUUUCCAUGAGAUUCAAAUGAACUCUUCUCAGUCGCCACACACCAAACACAUCAUUCCUUCAGCACUAGAUCUGGCAGCUAUAUUGUCAUUAAAUCCUUUUUCCUGCCCAAUCCUUCUGGUAGAAAUAUGUGUUUUUUCACAGAGCUUAAUCCACUCUGAAUAAACCUGUCCGGAACACAGUAACGACAUUCCAGCAUUGUUUUCACAGCAGUGAACAAGUCUUAAUCUUCAGCUGGUAAAAGUUCACAUACACCGGUUCAUUUGUACUAGCAGCCUCUUGCCUUUUUCAGCUGACAUAUUUCUGGCAUUUUAGCUUUUCAACAAGAAGCUAAUAUGCCAUCAGAAGUACUUCACCAGAAGGGAUUCUUCCUUGUAACCAGCCCCUAAAAGCAGUGAACACUUCUGCUGCAGUGACCUGCUUGGAUGGCAGGCGCUUGAACUGCUCUUCGCUCCGUCCACUGAUGAUGAAGGCUCCUGCGAGCUGCCAUGGGUGCGUUACUGAGCUGGCUGGCAAGAACAGAAAGGAGUGUCAUAGCGUCAGGUGUCACAUUUCCACACCGUUCCUGGCCCUUCUCCUUCUUCUGUCCUCGAUGCGGUAUUCUCAAGCAGCAGAAGUGGUACUGGGCAAACAAGAACAGUCCUGGAGCCCUGACUCUAUAAUCUUCUAGGACCAAGGUUUUUAAAAAUGAAUAAUUGAUUAAAAUAAUUUUUGCCAUAUCCUGCUUCUCUCUAAUCUUUAAUUGGCACCCUACAAGAGUCUCUCAGACAGACUCAAGUGACAUUUGAAGAAAAUUUCACCAUCGCAUUGAAAGGAAGAGGAAAACUGCAGGUUCUCAGCUGCAAAUCAAAUCCAUUCAAAAGGCUUUCUGUGGUUCCAUCAAAGGAAAGAAACAGGAAAAAAAAUUAGAGGUGACCAAUGGUUGACUGCAAAAAAUUUCUAGGAAGGAUUCUGUAUGUACAUAUUUCUCCUGUUUUAAAUCAAUGUAUUUUUUUUCUGUAUUUUUUGGAAUAGUUCAAAUAGAUUUUCUUUGAUAGGCUAUAAUAAAACACAAUUAUGUGCA
Molecule: long non-coding RNA, 1945 nt
Organism: Dromaius novaehollandiae (emu)
Lineage: Eukaryota; Metazoa; Chordata; Aves; Casuariiformes; Dromaiidae
Exons: 2
Source: RefSeq, a predicted model, not a curated record